GAUGAACGCUGGCGGCGUGCCUAAUACAUGCAAGUCGAGCGAACGGACGAGAAGCUUGCUUCUCUGAUGUUAGCGGCGGACGGGUGAGUAACACGCGGAUAACCUACCUAUAAGACUGGGAUAACUUCGGGAAACCGGAGCUAAUACCGGAUAAUAUUUUGAACCGCAUGGUUCAAAAGUGAAAGACGGUCUUGCUGUCACUUAUAGAUGGAUCCGCGCUGCAUUAGCUAGUUGGUAAGGUAACGGCUUACCAAGGCAACGAUGCAUAGCCGACCUGAGAGGGUGAUCGGCCACACUGGAAUUGAGACACGGUCCAGACUCCUACGGGAGGCAGCAGUAGGGAAUCUUCCGCAAUGGGCGAAAGCCUGACGGAGCAACGCCGCGUGAGUGAUGAAGGUCUUCGGAUCGUAAAACUCUGUUAUUAGGGAAGAACAUAUGUGUAAGUAACUGUGCACAUCUUGACGGUACCUAAUCAGAAAGCCACGGCUAACUACGUGCCAGCAGCCGCGGUAAUACGUAGGUGGCAAGCGUUAUCCGGAAUUAUUGGGCGUAAAGCGCGCGUAGGCGGUUUUUUAAGUCUGAUGUGAAAGCCCACGGCUCAACCGUGGAGGGUCAUUGGAAACUGGAAAACUUGAGUGCAGAAGAGGAAAGUGGAAUUCCAUGUGUAGCGGUGAAAUGCGCAGAGAUAUGGAGGAACACCAGUGGCGAAGGCGACUUUCUGGUCUGUAACUGACGCUGAUGUGCGAAAGCGUGGGGAUCAAACAGGAUUAGAUACCCUGGUAGUCCACGCCGUAAACGAUGAGUGCUAAGUGUUAGGGGGUUUCCGCCCCUUAGUGCUGCAGCUAACGCAUUAAGCACUCCGCCUGGGGAGUACGACCGCAAGGUUGAAACUCAAAGGAAUUGACGGGGACCCGCACAAGCGGUGGAGCAUGUGGUUUAAUUCGAAGCAACGCGAAGAACCUUACCAAAUCUUGACAUCCUUUGACAACUCUAGAGAUAGAGCUUUCCCCUUCGGGGGACAAAGUGACAGGUGGUGCAUGGUUGUCGUCAGCUCGUGUCGUGAGAUGUUGGGUUAAGUCCCGCAACGAGCGCAACCCUUAAGCUUAGUUGCCAUCAUUAAGUUGGGCACUCUAAGUUGACUGCCGGUGACAAACCGGAGGAAGGUGGGGAUGACGUCAAAUCAUCAUGCCCCUUAUGAUUUGGGCUACACACGUGCUACAAUGGACAAUACAAAGGGCAGCGAAACCGCGAGGUCAAGCAAAUCCCAUAAAGUUGUUCUCAGUUCGGAUUGUAGUCUGCAACUCGACUACAUGAAGCUGGAAUCGCUAGUAAUCGUAGAUCAGCAUGCUACGGUGAAUACGUUUCCGGGUCU
This 1372-nucleotide ribosomal RNA is filed under the name uncultured bacterium. Its description in RNAcentral is "bacterial SSU rRNA". It matches the Rfam family "Bacterial small subunit ribosomal RNA", at positions 28 to 1381 of the family's 1533-position model. The record is from RNAcentral.